CUUGGAGUCUGUCCUUACCCACAAGUUUUGUGCCACGUUCUCCUGCUUGCAAUGGACAGACAAGUGACAUAUGCUGAUUUAAACUUAUCCAGGGGUCCUUGCCUGGAAAGUUCAUCACCCCCAUCUCUUCCUCAGGGUAAGUGCCUUUUGUUUUCCAUUUGGCAUUUGUUUGUCUUUCAGAGUUAGAUUUUUCUCUUAUAUUGAUGGUUUUAAAUCACAGCUCUGAGGAUAAGCAGCAGUCCUAUAUAUAUAGGAUAUAUAGGAUAUAUAUACACCAUAUAUAUAUAUGGAUAUAUAGGAUAUAUAGAUAUAUAGGAUAUAUAUAUAUACAUAUAUAUAUGGUAUAGCAUAUCUUACCUGUAGGUAACAGUAACUGUGACGAAAAGCACACACCUAGUAGAUUUCUUUUUUUAUCAAGAUAUUAGUGUGAAGAGUGAACAUCACUCCUAUUCCUGAGCCUUGGUUAAAAACCAGGAAGAAAUAUUUUACACGUAUGAACAAAGUAAUAUUUUAGAGACUUCCUAUCAUGGUAACGUACCUUAUUCCAAAUCCUUCCCCAAAAUACUAAUGCUAAGUUUUACUGCAUUCCCUCCCAUAGUGUUUUGCCCCCCAAUAUGAAGUAUAAGUGCAAUGAUUAAUAUCCUUCGCUAUCCAAAGAGAAGGAGAAAAUUUUUUCUAGAAGAAUAUCAUAUUCAAGAUCAAAGACCUCAACAUAAUUAUAAUCUGAUAGUUUCUAACUUUGAAACUUGAUGCUUGAAAUGUAUCCUGGUUUCGAUGGAGAUAAGCCAUGAGACACUGGAGAAUAUCAUUAAAAGAACCUAUUUGACACUUGUUGGAAUCAGCACUUUUCUGUGUCAGAGGAAUUAGUAUUUUCAGUGGGAAAAAAAAAAAAGGGUAACGGUCAUGUGAGGUAAUAGGUGACGGAUGCCAAUAGCCUGGAAAUGGAUGAAAAAAGACCAGAAACUAGGCAGAAAAUAUGCACGGAAUUAUCAUGACGUUCUGAAAUCUAACCAAAUGUACUACUGGGAUUUUUAUCCAACCUGAUAUUCAUUUCAUAUUGUGCUAAACAUUGGGCUAUAGCCUUUUAAGAUGAUUUGGUAUAGGUUUGAAACUACUAAAUUAUCAAGUUCUAAAUUGGGAAAAAAGGCUUAGGGUUACCAAAUAAGUUUCACUAUACUCUUCUUUAUGGGGGUUAAGGGGAAUUGGAGGAUCUUGAUAACUACAGUCAGGGUUUGGUGUGGCCACAGUUAUUUUUUAGGGAAAUAAUGAGACUUUCUCUUACCCUAUUCAGAUCUAGCAAAGGUGGAGAGGGAGGAGGCUGGUGUUUAAAAGGGAUGACCUAAAGUGAAUACAGAGAAAGGCAGUGAGAUUUUCCUCAAAAAUUACUAUGACCCCAAAUCAGUGCGUCCAGAAAAUUUGUCCAGUCUGAUCAUAUUUUUGUCCUAUUUCACCAUCGUGAAAGGAAAUCUGAAACAAAGUAGAAUAAGGCCAACAAAACGUGUAAUUUAAAAACACUGAUCUGAUAUUACAAUUAUUGCGAAACCACUGCUGAGCUCCUUGGCUAAACUCUUCAGGCUGUGGUAACUGUUAAACAGUGAACGCACCAAAAGGAGUCAGCGAGCUAGACGGAGAUGUGAGCUGUGACCUAUUUUGUUAUAGCCAAUGGUUUGGUUCCUUAGAAAAGUAAGUAAGGUGUUUGUAAAAUGCCUCUAGACAUUGUUUGUUCAUUCAAAAAUAAACUAUUGGUUUUGAAGCUACAACAGGGAACAAAAUAGCGAAAAAAUAUUUUCCUUUACUGCAAUUAUACUACUAUAAGAGACAUAAUAAACAAAUAACUGAGUAUAUGUAAAAAGAUCAUGUGAUAUUUAAAACAUUUUUUUUAAAUGUUUAUUUAUUUUUGAGAGAGACAGAACAAGCAGCGAAGGGGCAGAGAGAGACACACAGAAUCUGAAGUGGGCGCCAGGGUCCAAGCUGACAGCACAGAGCCUGACGUGGGGCUUCAACUCACAAACUGCGAGACCGUGACCUGAGCCGAAUGGGACGUUUAACCAACUGAGCCACCCAGAUGCCCCAAAAGAUCACGUGAUAUUGAGUGAAAUUGAGAAGAAUAAAAAAUAGAAGUAGAAUUUAGUUUGGUGGGGGGUACUGUAUCAAAUGGAAUAUUUACAGGAGGUGAUGAUAAGAAGACAUUUGAGUCAAGACCUGUCAAGACUUGUGGGACAAAGUCAUGCUUUCUGGGAGAAGAGUCUUUUAGGAAGCAGGACACACAAGUGCAACCUCCCUGACAUCAAAACUUACCUGUCAUACUGUAGGAGAGCACGCAGAUUAGGGUGAAAUAUCAGCAUGUAUAUAUGGAGAGCCACAGGAGAUGAAGUUAGAGAGGUCAUUCGAAGCCAGAUUGAAUAGAGAUCUGCAGACCACUUUAUAGACUUGUCCACAUUCAAAUCUCCAUAGAAAGCCAUUGAAAGGUUUAGAGCAAUGGAGUAGAAUGGUUUAAUAUAUUGUUUACACCCAAAGAGUAGCCCAGAGUGGGUAUUUCCCAAUAACUAAGGUUUACUUGGCCUCUUCAACUUGUUAUUGUAACUCCAUUAAUUUCAAUCUCAUAUAGUGCAGCAGAAGAACUUAAUACAGAAGAGCAUCCCAAGCACAGGACCUUCCAUUCAAUUCCUUAAGUUUUAUCAAGAAUGAAGAAGUAUCUUUAAAAGUCACUUCAGGCGCACCUGGGUGGCUCAGUCAGUUAAGCAUCCAACUCUUGAUUUCGUCUCAGGGAUGACCCCAGGGUCAUGGGAUUGAGCCCCAUGUUGGGCUUUGUGCUGAGCAUGGAGCCUACUUAAGAUUCUCUCUCUCUCUCUCUCUCUCUCUGCCCCUCUCCCAGGCGUGUGCUCUCCUUUUCUCUCUCAAAAAAAAGUCACUCCAAAUUUCCUUUGAGCUAUACAGAUGGUCCCCUACUUACUAAGGUUCAACUUGCAAUUUUUGGACUUUCCAAUGGUGUGAAAGCAAUACACUUUCAAUGGAAACCAUACUUUGAAUUUUGAAUUCAAUCUCUUCCCUGGCUAGCAAGGAGCGGCACAAUCUUAUUGCGUGAUGCGGGGCAGUGGCAACCACAGGUCCCCAUCAGCCACACCAUCAUGAAGGUCACAGCCGAUACAGUCAUCCUGUUCCCAUGCAACCAUGCAGCUUUUCACUUUCAGUACACUAUUCCGUAAAUUAUGAGAUUUUCAAUACUUUAUUCUAAAAUACGGGGCCCCUGGGUGGCGCAGUGGGUUAAGCGUCCGACUUCAGCUCAGGUCACGAUCUCGCGGUCCGUGAGUUUGAGCCCCGCGUCGGGCUCUGGGCUGAUGGCUCAGAGCCUGGAGCCUGUUUCCGAUUCUGUGUCUCCCUCUCUCUCUGCCCCUCCCCCGUUCAUGCUCUGUCUCUCUCUGUCCCAAAAAAAUAAAUAAACGUUGAAAAAAAAAAUUAAAAAAUAAAUAAAUAAAAUAAAAUAAAAUAAAAUAAGCUUUGUGUUAGAUGAUUUUGCCCGAGCUUAGGCUAAUGUAAUUAUUCUGAGCCCUUUUAAGAUAGGGUAGGCUGGGGCGCCUGGGUGGCGCAGUCGGUUAAGCGUCCGACUUCAGCCAGGUCAACGAUCUCGCGCUCCGUGAGUUCGAGCCCCGCGUCGGGCUCUGGGCUGAUGGCUCAGAGCCUGGAGCCUGCUUCCGAUUCUGUGUCUCCCUCUCUCUCUGCCCCUCCCCCGUUCAUGCUCUGUCUCUCUCUGUCCCAAAAAAUAAAUAAAUGUUGAAAAAAAAAAAAUUUAAGAUAGGGUAGGCUAAGCUAUGACGCUCGAUAGGUUAGGGAUAGUAAAACUAUUUUCAAAUGACUAUCUUUUCAACUUUCACUGGGUUUAUGGGGAUGCAAGGAAUAUACAUAGGGAACAAAUUGAGGAAGAUUUGUAGUUUUUAAAAAAGAUUAAAAGAAAAAUAACAUAAUAUUUAUUGAAUAAUUACUAUGUGCCAGAUACUAUGCAUAGCAUUUUAGAAGAAUUGUCUCAUAUAGUCCUUUCAAAAACCUUGCGAAGUAGAUAUUAGUCUACAUCUUAUAAAUGAGGAAAUUUGUCACUUAUGAAGCUAGAAUACCUUGCCCAAAGCAACAUGUUCAAGUACAGAUGUGCUAGAUUUGAAAGCCUCUGCUUCUAACCACUGCUGUGCUUCCAUAAUAAAUAUUAAAAUAGUCACUAUAUGUCUCCAUUUUGCAAAGUUUCAAGGGAAAAAAGGACGAGGAAGGAAAGAGACAUAAAGGUAAAAUAAUAUACAUAUCUACAACCGGAAGGAGUGAUAUUUUAGGGCCAGUCUUAGGUUCAUUGACUGCAUUUAGCCAUUCUGUAUCACAGUGGUUUUCAUUAGAAGUUCUAGGUCAAUGUUAAUCAAAUUUGGUGUUCUCAGAUUCGGAUGUAUGCCCAGAGUUUAGGAGUCCCCUCUGGGUACUUACUCAUAGGUGAUAAUCUAUGUGUCACUACCUUGAAUCUUAUCGAUCACCCGUUUCUUCCCAUAAUCUUUGAUCACAUUAGCUAUUCUAAAUUCCAUCUACUGGAGAACAUUUUAGAAAGAGCUAAGAUAUGAAUGUCAACAUACUAACUAAGGGGACCAUUAGUAGUUUUCUGCAAAUUGGGUUGCACAAAAUUAUUGCCAGGGACAGUGUAAAAAAACAAAGUGCAAAUGGACUUGUAAGUCACUCUGGAACAUUUAAGAAGAAUAAAAGAUAGCAUUUUAACAAACCUGGUACUAAUAUUCUUAACAACUGACUCAAAACAAAUAAAUGUCUAUAUAGAGAAAUAUUAGAAAAAAUAUAAAAAGAAUAGAUAAUAUAAAUAAAUCCAGAGCUUUAGAUAAAUUAAAAAACCUUUACUUGUAAAAGCCCUCUGCUCUAAUAAUAUAAUUUAGAAAACAACUUGUAAUAUAUCUUACAGCUAUAUUAUAUAUAUGUGUGUGUAUAUAUAUAUGUGUAUAUAUAUGCAUGUUAUGGCUAUAUUACAUAUAUAUGUUAUAUAUGUGUGUAUAUGUGCAUGUGUGUGUGUGUGAGUGUGUGUGUGUGUGUGUGUGUGUGUUACAAACCAAAUGAGAGCAAAAGGGGUCUUAUAAUUAAGUCAGGGGUAUAGGCAUUACCUAAACACAAUUUCAAGUGGAGAAACUAAGGUAUGAAUUACUAGACUAAUUCCUAUCAGAGUUGAUUCAAUUUUGGAAUCUGAGCUGGUGUUUUCCUGCAAGUUUUUUUAUUAGAACAUUACUCUCAGGGGCACCUGGGUAGCUCAGUCAGUUCAGCGUUCGACUUUGGCUCACAUCAUGAUCUUGCGAUUCGUGAGCUCAAGGCCCAUGUCGGGCUCUGUGCUGACAGUGCGGAGCCUGCUUGGGAUUCUCUCUCUCUCCUUCUUUUUCUGACCCUCCCCCACUCACACUCUGUCUCUGUCUCUCUCUCUCUCUCUCUCUUAAAAAUAAAUGAACAUUAAAAAAUUAAAAAAAAAUACUCUCAUUAUUUUUCCCCAUGAAAUUUAUAGUUUUAAAGAUGUGUAGAACAAAAUAUAUUGAUACACUUAUGAUUAAUUUAUGCUUCCAUUUCAUUAAUUAAUAUAAUCACAAUUUCUUUUUUUAAUGUUUAUUUAUUUUGUGAGAGAGAGAGGGAGCAAGAGCAUGUGUGCUUGCAAACAAAGGAAGGGCAGAGACAGAGAGAGAGAGAGAGAGAAUCCCAAGUAGGCUCCAUGCUGUCAGCACAGAGCCCAAUGCAGGGCUCGAUCUCACAAACCAUGACACCAUGACCUGAGCAGAAAUCAAGAGUCAGAUGCUCAACCAACUGAGCUACCCAGGCUCCCCCAUAAUCACAAUUUAUGAUAAACAUGAUAAACAUGAGACACAGUAUACUGUAAAUGAUAUGAUUGCAGAGAAAAACAAAUGUAUUUGAUAUUUUGUUAGACUAUGCAACGUUGUAGACAUAAGCUCAUGUUAUGUUAUAUUCAUCGAAAUACUAAAAUAAUAUGCAGCCUCAUAAAACACUCUUCUCUGAUUCAAGUUGGAGAUAAUUGCUUUAGACAACAAUAAAGCAGAGGAAUCCAUGUCUAAGAAUAGAAUUGUUGUGUGUCACGAGAACCUAAAAUGGUACUUAGCACAAAAUAGAGCCUCCAUAGAACUCAUUCUAACAUAUCUUGACUGGAUGAAGGCCACCCUUUUUAGACAAAAUUCUUUGACUUACUUCCUACAAUAGGGCGUGUGCUUCAUUUUCAUACAGCACUUGGCAAUUUUCGAAACUUUUCACAUCUAUCCCGUUUGAUUGUUACACCAAUCUUUUGUACCUAAGACAAGCGUAAAUAUUUCUGUUUUACUCAUGAGCCAAAUCUCAGGUGGAUCUGACUGAGAACCCAUCUCGUGGAGCUCUAAUAUGGCUGAUAAGCGUUCUUUCCUGCCCCCAGCUCCCAACUUGAAUCUGUCUAUAUGCGACCCAAACCACCUUUGCUUUUUGUUCCAGAUGGACCCAACCAGUUAACUAAGUGUAUUUUCUUAACUUCUCAGACAUCUGUCAAGGUCCACCUUGGCAUCAGUUGGCUCUGAAACUUGGUUGUACUGGGGUUAUUCUUCUUACCUUGACUGUGAUUGGGUUGAGUAUUUCAGGUAAGUGAUUCAAGAUCAUUUGCUUCAGAAUACAUAUUUUGUUCCUAUCACAAAUAUUAGAGUAUCAAAUAAUUUGGCCACCCCCAAACUUAGCGAAAGACCGAUGAAAGAAAAACAAUUACAAAACAAUGCUUUUAACAAUGCUCAGCCCAAAUCUACUCUGUGAACUUCAGCUUUUUGGAUUUCUGUUCCUAAUUGUUCUGAUCAUCUUCAGAUGUGCUUCAGAUAUUUCAGAUGUGCUCCAGAACUAAAAUUAGAUCACCACUCUAAUAAAGACAUGACAAUAACAAAGAUAAUUUGAAUUUUCCAUUAUUUACAGUUUCUUCAGUACCUAUUAUAUUCCAGAUUGCACUAGGCAAUCUCUCCCAUGGGGCAGGCAUAAUUAUAUUCCUCCCGAAAAUGAGAAAGCUUGGUCAGGAGUAUAAACAACUUAAGAGUAGAUAACAGGUAACAACGUCUAUGUAAGUUCAUUGUUAGGUGUUUUUUCUUGUUUGUUUGUUUACGUAUGCUGUGUUCUAACUAGACCCUUUGUUACUACAUAGCUAUUGCCUUUAUAUUCUACCCACAUUCAAGCUUGUUGAGAUAACACAGUUUCCCGAAGUGAUAAUAACAUAUCCAUUUUGCCACAUUCAGCAUUUAAUCUUCUUACUGGUUUCUCCUUAUUUACUAGUAAUAUUCUUAAGACAAAACUUGUCAAUAGAAGAAAGCGGUGUGGAUGUUCACGAGAACAGGAAUGAAACAACAGGUAAUUUUGUAGCUUGGAAGUUCCUAAAAAUAACAGCUCGUAUUUGACCGAUACCAUACAUUACAUUAGUAAAGGCUCCUAACAACCCAUAUAUUCAGAGAGUAUGAGCUUUCUGACUUUAUGUUUGACAACCCUGGGGAAUGGGAGGGUUAAGCAACUCACUUAGGGUCAUACACCAAGUAAGAGGCGACAGUGGAAAUUGUACCUGUGGCCUGACCUCAGAGCCGAUGAUCUUAACCACUAGGUCACACUUCCACACUUAGAGGAAACAAAAUAAGUAUUCUGAAGCCAAUGAUCGUGAAUCACUUACCUGACACACUCCACCCCAACACAGAUGUUGCUGCUAGAAUAUUCAAGAAUUAACAGCCAAAUAUCAAGUUAAGAAGUAAUAUACGCACCUAAGUGAAACAGUGGAUGAUUUUAGUGAGCAUGUCAAACAGUUAACUUUUGACUGAAGUUAAUUAGUAAAACUGAAAUAUAAAAUAAGUUUCUAAAUAUUUAUCAUAUUCACUACUAAGAGGUUAAUCUUGCUUCACAAAGCAGUGUGCGUUAAUAAAGACACUGUGGUUGAAUGACUGUAGUAAAAUAUGAUUGUGGAUGGUGCACAUGCUCCCAGAUCACCAAUUUUAAGCAACCUGGAAAAUCCUUCUGGAAAAUGUUACCCAACAGAUUGCACUAAGUAAGCAAGUAUAUACUUUGGCAAUUGGAAAUUUUCCGUAGUACUGGUCAUCAAUUUAGGGCGACAAAUUAUAUUUGCUUUGCAGUUUACAAGUUGUUUGAGGUAAAAACUCCUUUCGAUAAGUUUGAUAUUGUUGGAUAUGUACUAGAAUCAACACUACUGAUGAGCUUGAGAAAAUUCAGGAAUAGUUUUGACUCUUCACACCAUCUGAUUAUGUGCACUUAAAUUAUUCUGUCAGUGCCUUAAAAAGUAAGAUGUGGCUGCAUAAAUGAUUUUAAUGGUCUUUUCCUAUUCUAACACUCCAUGAUUCCAUUUAUGCUCCCUACAACUGGUCAUGGAUUUCCAAUUCUUGAUAUCAGAAUGGAGAGUGUCAAAAACCUCAGAAUUAUAGCAAAUCCAUUCAUUGUUCUCACAAUGAUAAUCAGAGACUUUUGUGCAUUUAUGAUGACUUGUGCGUGUGCGAUUUGUUGUGGUGGGUGGAAACAGGAGAGAACUAUAACACUUAUUUAUUUCAUCUUUCUCUUUACUUCAGAGAAACCAGAUCUGUUAAAGUGCCCAAAAGAUUGGCGUCUACUCCGAGAAAAAUGCUUGUUUUUUUCUCUCGCUUCCAACACUUGGAACUACAGUCUAGCUGACUGUUCCACAAAAGAAUCCAGUUUGCUGCUUUUUCAAGAUCCAGAAGAAUUGGUAAAUAAUUAAAUAAGAUACCUUAAUAGAACUUAGCACUUUUUUCUAACCUUACCACGGCCUUUGGGGUUCAGCCCAAAGGGGCUAUGCAGAUACAAGUAGCAACUUUGACUUCAAGAAGCUCACAAUCUGAGAGACGAAACAGACAUAUAAGGAAAUAAUUGAAUGUAAUUUGAUGAAUGCAACAAUAUAAAUAUAGAGAGUAAUAUCACAAAGAAGGAAUAAUCAACUCUGAUGCGGAGUUAGGAAAGUCAUCAUAGAUGAGGUAAGACUUGAACUCAGUUUUAGAGAAAGAGUAGAAAAAUGCAAACCAUGAAUAGAUCACACAGAUUCAGUAUUCCGCCAUUUUGUUUGCUUUAUUUAUAGAGACACGUACAAAGCCUGAUACCUAAAAAAGAAUUUCUGUUUUGGAUUGGAUUAAAUUUAACAUUAUCAGAGAAGAAAUGGAAGUGGAUAAAUGGGUCAUUUUUAAAUCCAAACGUGUGAGUAUUCGAUAAGCCAAUUUGAAUAUUCACGCUAUACCAGCUUUGUAUUUCGAGAACGUAAAAUCGUUAUGAAAGACUGAGUUUUGUGGUUUCCAUUUGGCUCAGAAAUUUUCAAGAUGUCCAGAAUAGACUUAGAAGAUGAACGAUUCUGAAGCUGGUUGGUUGAAAGUCCCAUAUGGGAAAAGACAUCAGCCCUUUAGAGCAAUAUAUAUAUAUUUUUAUCUACAACAGAGAUUUAGGAAACAAGGAAUAGAUAAUUUGGUGGCGGGGUGGGGGGGAUGGGGAUCGCAUUAAACAAUCUCUAGCUGUAGGCUUUUAGCAUGCAGAAUUAUUUAAGUAGUGUUUUUCAGUGAAUUAAAAAAAAAAAAGGUAAAUAUCAAGAGUGUGGAACUCAGACAGGCCGGAAAGCCUUACUGAUAACGUAAACAGUCGAUUAACAUAUAUUUUAAAUACAUUAUAGUUAUUCUUUUUUUUUUUUUUUUUUUAAAUUUUGUUUUUCAACGUUUAUUGAUUUUUUUUUGGGAGAGAGACAGAGCAUGAACGGGGGAGGAGCAGAGAGAGAGGGAGACACAGAAUCGGAAACAGGCUCCAGGCUCUGAGCCAUCAGCCCAGAGCCCGACGCGGGGCUCAAACUCACGGACCGCGAGAUCGUGACCUGGCUGAAGUCGGACGCUUAACCGACUGCGCCACCCAGGCGCCCCACAUUAUAGUUAUUCUACACUGUAUUCUUGCAAUAAGCUAGAGAAAAGAAAAUGUUAUUAAGAAAACCAUAAAACUAGAAAAUACAGUAACACACCGUAUUUAUCAAAAGACCAUGUGAAGUGAACACAUAUAGUUCAAACCCAUGAUGUUCAAAGGUCAACGGUAUAUUUUAAUAAGAGGUGCAAAGGAGACAAUUAUUUGAGGGGAUGCGAUGAAUAUGGCAUAGGCCACAAAGGAUCUAUUAGCUAUUUUCUAUUGGGUGUCUCAUUGUAAUUUUUUGUGUAAGCUGUCCAAGAAAAUUAUCGGUUCAAUAGGAGGGUUGAUACUACCCAAAUAAAUUACAUAUUUUAACAGAAUUAAUGGAUAAUUGUGUAACAAAGGCAGAGAAUUUUUUCCUCCAAAGCAAAAGUAUGCAUUCAAAUAAUGUUUCUGUAAAGAACUUCUUUUGAUAAGUUGUUCAGAAGAGAUGAUGUUGUGUUGCUUUAUUUUUUAACUUAUUUUAAUGUGUAUUUAUUUUUGAGAGAGAGACACAGAGCAUGAGCAGGGAAGGGGCAGAGAAAGGCAGACACAGAAUCUGAAGCAGGCCCCAGGCCCCGAGCUGUCAGUGCGGAGCCCGACGCGGGGCUCAAACCCACAAACUGUGAGAUCGUGACCUGAGCUGAAGUCGGACGCUUAAACCGACUGAGCCACCCAGGCGCCCCUGUGUUCCAGUUUUUGAGUCUGUGAAGACUUCAAUCACAUUUGUAUAAAUGAGAGUUAAAACUUUUUUAUCAUUCAAAAAACAUGAGGAAUAUGAGGAAAACACAUGAGACUUAAAACACAGGAACAUGUCCAAGUUUAUCUAAACUAUAGUGUAAACGUGUAAGGAAAAGUGUUAAACAUUGAAACAUAUGUUGGCUUAAUUAGCAAAUUUUUACGUUGUUUGACACAUGUUCUAAAAUAUUUUUUAAAGGUGAUUCUUCAAAAAAAUUAUUUUAGGGGCGCCUGGGUGGCUCAGUUGGUUAAGUGUCCGACUUCGGCUCAGGUCAUAAUCUCGCGGUCCGUGAGUUCGAGCCCCACGUCGGGCUCUGUGCUGACAGCUCAGAGCCUGGAGCCUGCUUCAGAUUCUGUGUCUCCCUCUCUCUCUGCCCCUCCCCCGCUCAUGCUCUGUCUCUCUCCGUUAAAUAAACAUUAAAAAAAAAUUAUUUUAAAGUCUAAGUGUUCCGAGGUAGAAUAAAUUUAUGAAAGGGCAAGCCUACUCUUCCUGGUGGAUAAAAUGUGCUUUCACACCACACAUGUAUACCACACACACACCAAAAACAACACACACACGUCAAACACACAUCACACAUACACGACACAAGCCACACACAAAAUACGCUGACCACAUGUAUAUAACAUACGUACUCCACACAUACACCACACACACACCACACAAAUUCCAAAAAAAAAAAAUCUAUCUUCAUUUUUUACAUGUUUUCUGGCGAUUACUCUCUGUACUUUAUUCCCAUAUAAAUGAAAAUUUAAUGUUGACUUAUUUUUCUUUGUUCAUACCCAAAUUAGGGUUAAUGGAAAUCAGUGUGUGUGUGUUUAUUUUACUGAAGUUUAUAAUAAAAUUGGAGAAUACUGAAGUGUCCGUGAGUGGAAAUAUAGGUAAAGCGGAUGGAUUAAAUUCAGCUGAACAUCCCAUUUUACUCUGAGAUAAAAAUUAUGCUUUAAUUAAAUAUGGCAGUGAUCAGGUAAACCUGGAAGGAAUGGGGUUGUAGUAGAAAGAGUAUUCAUUAAAUUCUGCUUUUAUUUUAACUGUCAGCCUGGCUUUCAGGUAAAAAAAAAAUAGAGGGUGAUAGUAAUUGUUUUUGCAGGAUUAAUAGGGAUUAAAUGAGAUAAGGUAGAGAACCAGGCUGAGAUCUGGUUAAGGAAAGCCUAGGAAGCCAUUGACGAUCUUUUGGAAAGAAAGUCUUUGAUUUGGCCAUCUAAGCAUUAAAAAGUUAUCUUGUAAAGCGGAAGAAGGAAUCAAAUGGGUAGAAGAGAUAAAACAUGGCGGACUUUGACAAUAGCCCAGUUGAGAGAAGUUCAUAAUUUGACUAGGGUGUCAGACACUAGGAAGGAAUCGGAUUGGCUGCUCAGGCCGAAAGGGCUGCAUGGAGAAAUGCAGUGAAGGAACAAAGAAAAGCUAUGACAGACCCCUAUCCUCUUUGUUUAAAAUUGGUUAAGAGAGUCUUGAACCAUCCCAUCCUGGCACCUCACCUUAGUGCCGCCUAUUCCCAAUACAUUCCAUAAGCCUCAUGCGUGUUGGAACCAACGGCAUUUUGAAGCAGACACUCACCAAUUUCUGUUUGGAAUGAGGAAAAAUGGAAGCCUCUGGCCCAUACCACACAAACUAAGCCUCUUUUUUUUUUUUAUUUUUAAAUGUUUUUAUUUAUUUUUGAGACAGAGAGAGACAGAGCAUGAGCAGGGAGGGGCAGAGAGAGAGGGAGACACAGAAUCUGAAGCAGGCUCCAGGCUCUGAGCUGUCAGCACAGAGCCCGACGCGGGGCUCGAACUCACAGACCAUGAGAUCGUGACCUGAGCCGAAGUCGGACGCUUAACCGACUGAGCCACCCAGGCGCCCCGCUAAGCCUCUUUUCUAAGCUGAUCCAAAUUCUGUAGACCCUGCAUGUCCAUCACCUGUUGUCUACUUAAUAUGUUUACUGAGCGCACACUUGAAGCAUUGUCAGACCUUCACAUGUGCUAUCUCAAUGCCUCCCCCAAAUAUCAAGUGGUCCUGUCCUAUUUAAGAAAACUGAAGCUCAGUAAAGUUAAGAAACUUUUCACAUGUAUUAAGGACAGAAUAAGAAUAAGAAGAGAGCCCCAGUUUGCAAAGCUUGGUGUUUGUUUGUUUGUUUGUUUGUAUAUAUUAGUUUGAAGCUUCUUGGUAGAGAAUGCUUUUCCAGUGAAGAUAAACUGGCAAGGGCCGGAGAUUUAUUAUUAGCUUUAAAUUAAAAGUUUACACCAUUAGGUUUGUGACUGUGCGCUUGCUCUAUACUCAAUAAUUUAGCAGCCCAUUGUUUCCUGAAAGUUGUAGGAGACGCUGGCUGGAUGAGGAGAAUUAUGUGAGAAAAUUCCAAGCACUAAAUGAUGCUUUUCGUUUGCUCCACAGAUUACAUAUUGUUGGUUAUACUAAGAAAAACAGCUGUGUUUACGUCUCACCGACAGGAAUUUUUUCUGAGGACUGUGACACAGACAAUAAAUGGAUCUGCCAGAAAGAACUACAACCUGUCAGAAAUAAGGCGUUUUCUGGCUCUUGACUAUGCAUUCCCUCUCAAUUUCUCUACUUUCCAUCACAGGUCUCUGCAUCUAUACAGCUAACCUGGCCCGAUGUAUAUCUAGAAGCACAAAGUGAACCAAUACUGACUCUUCUAAAACUGUCGUGAAUCUUACAGAAGUUCACGGCUAACCUACUCAUUGUAUGAAUGAGGAAGCAAAUACAUAGGGAAACCAAGUAUCAUUUCAAGAUACAGUGAUGUUCCAUGGAGAGGAGCCCCCAGACCAGCUGACUGGUUUCCAGUCUUGGCCUAUACAUGUGGCCUUCAUUGAUCCCCUCUAUGCUUUAGCUCACCUCUAGAAAAGUUACAGUAAAAGAUUUCUAAAGUCCUGUGGAUAUUUCAUAGUCUAUGAUUUUUCAUAUUAUCACACAACUGGAUUGUUCCAGAACAUUGGCCUAAGUCCAUUCUCUUGACUCUGAUAUCAGAAUCUCAUGACCAAAGGAACUUGGGAAGGGACCUAAACUCUUCCGCCAUUCCAGUGUUCUUCCUAUUUUAAUUUUCUCAUUACUUCUUUAUUUUCCUUCUAUGUCCCCUUCUCUCUAGGCUCACACACAGGCGGUAGGAAAUAUGUAAUUAAAUUUUUCAUUAUUUAGUGAAAAAUAAGUGAUUUUUUUCAUCAAAAGGGAAAUAUUUAUUCAGAUAAAUGUCGG
RNAcentral lists this long non-coding RNA (13861 nucleotides) under Lynx pardinus (Iberian lynx). Lineage: Eukaryota; Metazoa; Chordata; Mammalia; Carnivora; Felidae. The record is from RNAcentral.